This 288-nucleotide long non-coding RNA is filed under the name Homo sapiens (human). RNAcentral's name for it is "non-protein coding lnc-PFKP-31:1". Lineage: Eukaryota; Metazoa; Chordata; Mammalia; Primates; Hominidae. The record is from RNAcentral.
CGCCCACGAAUCCCGGCAAUAAUGUCGUCUGCUCCCCACGUCCUGCCCUACCACAGCUCCCUCCAAACUGCUGACAUUUUUACCACAGUUAUAGAAAGAAAAUUAAUGAACAUUCCUAGUCUGGGCACACAUCUUAACAUCCAUCCCCUCUCCAAUUAUAAAAUUAAAAGCAACCACUGUAAAUUCCCCACGUUUAGCAAAAUGAAGAGCUAUGGAGAGGAGUGAGCGCUUAAGCCACCUCAAGUAGAAUAUCCUUGUUGUCACACUAAGAAGCUGGUUCCCACGGAA